This 73-nucleotide transfer RNA is filed under the name Marmota monax (woodchuck). RNAcentral describes it as "tRNA.Met". The record is from RNAcentral. Lineage: Eukaryota; Metazoa; Chordata; Mammalia; Rodentia; Sciuridae.
GAGGAUAUAGCUCAGUUAGUAGAGUAUAAGCUUCAUAUGCACAAGGCCCUGGGGUUCAAUCCCCAGUACCACA